RNAcentral lists this transfer RNA (75 nucleotides) under Hydnora africana. RNAcentral's name for it is "tRNA-Glu". It matches the Rfam family "tRNA". From Rfam's summary of the family: Transfer RNA (tRNA) molecules are approximately 80 nucleotides in length. Lineage: Eukaryota; Viridiplantae; Streptophyta; Magnoliopsida; Piperales; Hydnoraceae. The record is from RNAcentral. RNAcentral also lists the same sequence under 1 other name.
GCCCCUAUCGUCUAGAGUGGUUUAGGACAUCUCUUUUUCAAGGAGAAAACAGGGAUUCAAAUUCCCUUAGGGGUU